RNAcentral lists this ribosomal RNA (195 nucleotides) under uncultured bacterium. Its description in RNAcentral is "partial 16S ribosomal RNA". It matches the Rfam family "Bacterial small subunit ribosomal RNA", at positions 326 to 538 of the family's 1533-position model. The record is from RNAcentral.
ACGCUCGACACCUACGCAGCAGUGGGGAAUAUUGCACAAUGGGGGAAACCCGUGAUGCAGCGACGCCGCGUGAAGGAAGAAGUAUCUCGGUAUGUAAACUUCUAUCAGCAGGGAAGAAAAUGACGGUACCUGACUAAGAAGCCCCGGCUAACUACGUGCCNGCAGCCGCGGUAAUCUGAGCGGGCGUGGCAAGGC